CCCCAAUGUUGGAGGUGGUACCUGGUGGGAGGUUCUUGGAUCAUGGUAAUAGAUUUCUCAUGAAUCGUCUAUUGACAUCCCCUUGGUGCUGUUCUCAUGAUAGUGAGUUCUCACAAUAUCUAUUUGUUUAAAUGUGUGCAGCACCUCCUCCCUCAUUGUCUCUGGCUCCUGUUUCCACCAUGUGAGGAACCUUGCUCUCCCUUCACCUUCUGCCAUGAUUUUAAGUUUCCUGAAAUCAUCCCAGAACCUGAGCAGAUGCUAGCACCAUGAUUCCUGUACAGCCAAUGGAACUGCUGUCUUCAGUCAGGGGAACUUCAGCUGGCACCUCUCUCUUGCAGCUACGAAGUGACAUUGUGGUGACACACCUCAUACAGACUAUCCCGGUAAGCCAGGACAAGUCACCAUUAAGAUCCUUCACAAACAUCCCUGGGCAAGUGGGAAUCGUAAGAGCCACCACCUCCUUAGCUCAACCACAGCUCCAAAUGCAGUCUGUCCCAGCUGGCAAACGCCUCAAACAACAAUCAUGCAUCGUGCUCCUAUUCUGGGUUUUUAUAAAACACUUUUAUAUAGAGAUAGAGAUAGCACAGUAAAUGUACUUAAGAGGCACUCUAACAUAGAGGACAGGAAAACACACUGUGGGGCGCUGCCCCAGCCGUCUCCACAGUGGAGAAAGUGCGAGGGUUAAAUACACGUGGCGGGGUGUCAGACAGCAGGUAGUUACAGAGCGCCACGCUCCACGCCCUUCCACGUGACUGACUCGUCCCACAUUGAGAACUCGUCUUCUUUAUCCCCUUGGUGGGUAGGAGCAGUAACAGAAACAAAGUCAUUUUCUGAGGGUGGGCGACGUCAAACUAUCUGGUACCGAGACAGCGAUUCUUAUCCAGAACUCAUCUAGAAAUAAUUGCCGAAGGCCAGCCUGGCUCAUGGCCCCAGGCUGAGGGCUGCUCUGUAAAGGGUGGGACAGGCUCUGGGGGUCUCGGGCUGAUGCAGUAUCUCUCAGACACCUGUACAUUCACACACUCGCAUGUCCCCGGGUAAAGUGCACUUCCAAUGGCUGAUACAAAAAUAGACUGGCACACUCUUCGACACAAUGAGGGUAUCUUUUAGGAGUUUUCUCCCAGCUUCUGCAGACUCUCCUCCCCCGUAUGCUUAAGCCCUUCACACUCAAAGUUGGAACAGAUCUGGAGAAGGCCCUGGACCACGCUUGCAAAGUCUGUGACUGCUGGGGAGAAAGACCGGGCUGUGGCAGCUAGGGGUUCUCGCUAGUGGACAGCGGGCAGAGCCUCUCUGUUCUCAGCACGUGCCUGCUCUUCCCUUGCUCUGAGAAGUCCAUAGCUCACGGCUCCUCUUGGCUACACCCAAGACUCCCUGGAAAGCUAGUACUGCUUCUCCCCAAACCAUGUAGAGAGGAAGAAAAGCCUGGUAUUUUGCGUUCUGUUUUUUUUUCAUUUAAAACUCAUAGUUUUAAAAAUAGAGAACUUUCACUUUGGUCAAGUGUAUUCCCAGAUAUUUUAUUUUAUCUGUUGCUAUUACAAAUGGAAUUUUUUUCCUUUUUCAGAUUGUUUGCUGUUGACAUAUAGCAAUGCUACUGGUUUUUAUUGGUUGAUUUUGUUUCCUGCAAUUUUACUGAAUUUAUCAUUUCUAAGUGUUUUUGAUGGAUUCUUGAGAUUUCUUUAAAUAUAAAAUCUAUCAGCAGCAAACAAAGAUAAUUUGACUUCUUUCUAAUUUGGA
Molecule: long non-coding RNA, 1731 nt
Organism: Callithrix jacchus (white-tufted-ear marmoset)
Lineage: Eukaryota; Metazoa; Chordata; Mammalia; Primates; Cebidae
Source: Ensembl